Cyprinus carpio carpio is the source of this 642-nucleotide long non-coding RNA. The record is from Ensembl. Lineage: Eukaryota; Metazoa; Chordata; Actinopteri; Cypriniformes; Cyprinidae.
AUUGUGAUGUUUUUAUCAGCUGUUUGGACUCUCAUUCUGACGGCACCCAUUCACUGCAGAGCACCCAUUGCUGAGACACUGAUGCAAUGCUACAUUUCUACAAACCUGAUGAAGAAACAAACUCAUCCACAUCUCAGAUGGUCUGAGGUAAGUUUUGCAUGGCUGCAAAUUUCUCACACACAUUUCUCGUGAGCAUAAAGAGCGUGACGGCUCUCGGUGUGGAGCGGCGCUGCUGCUGAUUGAUGAAGCGGGAGCUGUUAGCUGGAGAAUGAUGUUUGUUGGCUGGCUGUGGUCACGUCCAUCUGUGGAUAAUUCACCUGGAGAGAUUCCAGGUCUGUUACAAUGAUGCACUUAAACCUGUUAAGCUCCAAAUCCCAAAUCCAGGACACUCAAUAGCUCAGAGAGUCCGUCUGAUACCUCACACUCCACUGUCACAGCACUCCUCUUUAACUCCACACGAGUCAAUACUGCGGCGCCACUCGGACAGACCUCCAUCACUCAUGAUCUGACGCUCUGCUCGCUCCGUCUUCUGCCAUGUGUGUGGAACAUUAGACGCUCUUUCCUGUGUGGACCGUCCUUCCGUUCUCAUGCUCUGAGCUCAGGAAUCGAUGCAUUAGUUAGACAUGCCAGAAAACACUUAAA